GACGAACGCUGGCGGCGUGCCUAAUACAUGCAAGUCGAACGCUUCUUUCCUCCCGAGUGCUUGCACUCAAUUGGAAAGAGGAGUGGCGGACGGGUGAGUAACACGUGGGUAACCUACCCAUCAGAGGGGGAUAACACUUGGAAACAGGUGCUAAUACCGCAUAACAGUUUAUGCCGCAUGGCAUAAGAGUGAAAGGCGCUUUCGGGUGUCGUUGAUGGAUGGACCCGCGGUGCAUUAGCUAGUUGGUGAGGUAACGGCUCACCAAGGCCACGAUGCAUAGCCGACCUGAGAGGGUGAUCGGCCACACUGGGACUGAGACACGGCCCAGACUCCUACGGGAGGCAGCAGUAGGGAAUCUUCGGCAAUGGACGAAAGUCUGACCGAGCAACGCCGCGUGAGUGAAGAAGGUUUUCGGAUCGUAAAACUCUGUCGUUAGAGAAGAACAAGGACGUUAGUAACUGAACGUCCCCUGACGGUAUCUAACCAGAAAGCCAUGGCUAACUACGUG
Molecule: ribosomal RNA, 508 nt
Filed under: uncultured bacterium
Lineage: Bacteria
Description: partial 16S ribosomal RNA
Rfam family: Bacterial small subunit ribosomal RNA
Source: RNAcentral